AUGCCCAUCGCAAUGCCUUGCAUGCCGGCCCCGGCACUAGCCCUGGCGCUGCUCGGUGCUUUCGGCCUCGCCAUCGCCCCGGUUGUUCAUUCGGCCCCCACCAUCGAGGCCAUCCAAUAUACAUGCGCCAAGACAAUACAGCCAGACUCUUGCAAACACGUCCUGCUCGCCAACACGGCCGCCGGCUCACCGGAGGUGAACAGCGUCCCCCUAAUGUCCCUGCAAGUCGCGGCAAAGCUCGCCAAGAUGGCCAACGGAUUCGCCAAUGCCAGGCUCACCACGAACCCGCACCCCGCCAAAUGCCUCCAAAACUGCAUCGACGACCUUCAUAGAGUGGCCAAGGCAUUUGAGGGGCUCCCAGUGGAGGCGGUUAAGCCUGGCGACGAGGCGGGGGUGCUGUCCUUCAGCUCGGAGUUCAGGCCGACAUGCGGGGACGACUGCCCGAAGCCAAUCCCCGAGAGGACCGAGGACGAACGGGCCACGCGCGACAAGUUUGUGGGUGUCAUGAGAGCGAUCGGCGUCAUGCAGGACCUUUUCAUAACCAAGACUUGGUAA
This 555-nucleotide ribosomal RNA is filed under the name Triticum aestivum (bread wheat). RNAcentral's name for it is "partial small subunit ribosomal RNA". Lineage: Eukaryota; Viridiplantae; Streptophyta; Magnoliopsida; Poales; Poaceae. The record is from RNAcentral.